Long non-coding RNA from Mirounga angustirostris (Northern elephant seal), 14795 nucleotides. RefSeq lists it as uncharacterized. The transcript is spliced from 2 exons. Lineage: Eukaryota; Metazoa; Chordata; Mammalia; Carnivora; Phocidae. The record is from RefSeq and is a predicted model, not a curated record.
GGGGGGGAUUCCAGGGAGAGAGUUAUGUAUGUACAUACAUUGAGGUCAGAGAGAUGCUGACCCAUUUGGGGGAAUUUCCACUGGUUCCAGACAGCUGGAGUCUCGUUAUGAAGCUGAAAAUACAGUUGGAGAUACAGUAGUGGCCAGAUCAUGAAAAACCAUCUUUGCUGUGCUAGGUUUGAACUCUUCUCUGAAGAUUGUGGAAAACUACAGAGGUUAGUAAAAAUAAUCACAGUGUCAUUUUAGAAAGACCGUUUUAGAGACAGUGUGGGGCUGGUGGAAUUGGAGGAGUAAGGCUGGAGGGAAAAACACCAGUAAGGAGACUACAGUUUCAAGCCAGGCAGUGGAUAAUGAGGAUGUUCAUUUAGUAAGGCAGGUCAGGCGUUGGAGAGAAUAGACUCUAUAAAACCUGGAGAUAAGUUGGAUGUGGGGGAAAAAGUGGGAGUUGACCAGUGACUCUCAAGGUUUAUAGUUGAUAUUCUUAAUUAUGAAACAGAAUCAGACAAGCAACAAAAAACCUCUUUAUCUCCAUGCAUGUUCUAUUCCAAAUUUGCAUAAUCUACUUUAUUCUCUAAAUAGUUCUGAGAUUCAUUUCAGGUGAUUAUAAAUUCAUAUUGGAGGAACAACUGGCCCACAUGUUUUGGUUUAUUUUAGUUUUUGCAUAUAUUGCGGGGAAAUGCUUCUCUAAAGAAUAAUUCUGUAGGCUUAGAGGCUCUUUUAAGCUUAAUUAUAAAGCUAAUUUAAUACACUAUCCACUACGUAUCAUUAAAACGUUGAACUUGCCUCCUAAAAUAUUGUUUCUUUACUGUGGAUUUAGUUGAGCCUUCUUAAGUUAUAAGCAGACUCUUAAUUUAAAAUAAUUUCAAAUUUUGUUUGAGCAUUCUGCUAGUAAUGAACUGGUUUAGAUUAUGAAGUAUUUGGUAGAUUUAAUUGCUGGCAUCUUUGUCUCAGCUGGUGUUUUAGAACAUUUUCUUGUUAGGAGAAAAAGGCAUUCUUUUUCAGGUUCUAACUUCCCUGUAGGAUUCGUCAGCUGUUUUCACUCAACAGUUACUGACCUCUUAGAGUAUGCCAGGCAUUGACCUAAUACUCAAAGAAGAUAAAUUGACACUCUCUCUACUGUCAUGUACUUAAAAGUCUUAACAUUCUAAAUAUAAUUCAAGAAAAAAAAUCUAUAAUAAGUCUAAAAAUGGACUUUGCUUACAUACUAUUUUGAUAGCUAAUAUAAAAUAAACUUUCUUCUUAAAAGUCCUUGUAACAACACAGACAUUUCUCCCAUAUUGCAUGGUGCAUAACUAGAUUUGUAUGUACUAGGGUCAUUUAGGGUGUAUAGUCUGCAUUGCACAGAUUACUUUUGGUUAUAACCACGUGCUAAUUAGGAACCAGCAUUUAAAAGGAAAAGGAAGGACUUCUGGUUUCUGGUUCUGCAUGUAGGGAGCUUGGCAGUUGCCACUCCAUCCUAACAAGUAAAAAGCUGAACAGACUGAAAAAUCAACAACUCUUCUUGGAUACAUAAGAGAGGGGAAGACGUAGGGCUAGCAGCAGCUGUCAAGAUUGGAGAGACAGAUGGGUAACAUACAGAGAGUUUAGGCAUACUGGAGCAGACCUAUAAGCAGAAACCAGUGAGGGAACCAGUACCUGGGUUGAAAAGCCUGAACUGUGCUGAAUUUCAGGAGGCUCACUGUGGGCAGGUCUGAGAGUUAAAAACUCCAGGGGGACCCAAUCAUAGUGGGUCCUUACCAUACAGUGAGAUUAUCUCCAGAAGUUAGACCAAGUUCCCACAGUAAAUAUCUGAGAAAAAUCCCCUCAGCCUUCUGGCAGGAGCAGGGGAAAGGGAACCAUCUUGAAAUAUGCCAGAGUACCCCAUUUUUCUUAACAAAGCCUAUUCUAAGGGGAAACUGGCUAACUAGAGCCUUACCUGCUGGGAUAUUAUCAGAGUCUGUCUGGCCUGGGGAAGGGAAAUAACCAGCUUUUGCUCACUCUAGCCAUCCUGUCCCACCCAAGUGGAGAGGAACCCCCCCCGAGAAACCCUUGUGAAAUUCACAGUCCAGAGGCCAUGGCUCACUGAAAGACCAAGACCUAAUCACAGGAUGAUAGAAUGCUUCCCCUCCCUCCAUCUCACCACCACAUUACUGAAGGUUUAUUUAUAGCAGUUCUUUUUACCUAGUACAUCAUGUUCAACUAUCAAGAAAAUAUUACAAGGCAUACCAAAAGGCAAGAAGCACAAUUUGGAGAGACAAAUAAGUAUCAGAACCAGCUAUGGUGGUGAUGUUGGAAUUAUCAGACGGGGGAUUUUAAACAACUAUGAUUACUAUGCUAAGAACUCUAAUGGAUAAAGUAAACACCAUGCAAGAACAGGUGAACAAUGUAAGCAGGGAGAUAGAAGUCCUAAGAAAGAACCACAAAGAAAUGCUGUAGUUAAAAAACACUGUAAUAGAAGUGAAGAAUGCCUUUCAUGGGCUUAUUAAUGUACCGGACAUAGCUGAGGAGAGAAUCUCUGAGCUAGAAGAAAUAUCAGUAGAAACCUCCAAAACCCAAAAGCAAAGAAAACAAAGACUGAAAGAACCAGAAUAACCAAGGGCUGUGUGACAUCUACAAAGGUAUAAAAUACAUGUAAUGGGAAUGCCAGAAGGGGAAGAAAGAGAGAAAGGAACAGAAGAAAUACUUGAAACAGUAAUGACUGAGAAGCUCCCCCAAAUUAAUCGCAGACACCAAACCAUGGAUCCAGGAAGCUCAGAGAACACUAGGCAGAAUAAAUGCCAAAAGCCUACACUGAGGCAUAUAAUUGUCAAAGUACAGAAAAUCAAAGUCAAAGAAAAUAAUCCUGAAAGAAGCCAGAGCAAAACAAAACAACAAAAAACCCCCCAAACCAACACCUUACCUAUAGAGGAACAAAAGUAAUCACAUCCGACUUCUCAGAAACCAUGCAAGCAAGAAGAGAGUCGAGUGUAAUAUUUGAAGUGUUGAGAGAAAAACCCCACCACCUUAGAAUUCUGUAUUCUGGGGGCGCCUGGGUGGCUCAGUAGGUUAAGCGGCUGCCUUCGGCCCAGGUCAUGAUCCCAGGGUCCUGGAAUCGAGUCCUACAUCAGCCUCCCUGCUCAGUGGAAAGUCUGCUUCUCCCUCUCCGUCUGCCUGCCUCUCUGCUUACUUGUGCUCUCUCUCUAUCUCUGUCAAAUAAAUAAAUAAAAUCUAAAAAAUAAAAUAGGGGGAAAAGUUUAAAAAAAAAAAGAAUUCUGUAUUCUGCAAAAUUAUCCUUCAGAAGUAAAGGAGAAAUAAAGAUUUUCUCAGACAGACAAAAAUUGACGGUAUUUCUUGCUAGUAGAUCUUCCCUGCAAGGAAUAUGGAAAGAAGUUUUUUAGAGAGAAGGAAAAUAUUAGAGGUCAGAAACUCAGAUCUACAUAGAGAAAGGAAGAACAUCAAAGAAGGAAUAACUAAAGGUAAAAUAAAAACUUUUCUUCUUAAUUGAUGUAACAGCAGUUUGUUCAGAAUACUAAUAGUAACGCUGUAUUUGAUUAUGCUUGUGUGUGUAUGCUUAUGUACCCUUAUACAUAAGUGAAAUAGAUGACAGCAAUGUUCUCACACUACCCAUGAAGUGGUAUAGUGUUAUUUGAAAGUAGACAUGGAAGAAUUGUAAAUGUAUGUUUCCUAACUCUAGGGUAGCCAUUAAAAAAAUAAAAAAAGAAAUAUAACUGAUAUGCUAAGAAAGGAAAGUGGAACCAUACAAAAUGUUCAGUUAAAGCCACAAAAGGCAAAAAAAAAAAAAAAAAAAAAAAAAGUGGAAGACAAAACUAGGAGCAAAAAACCAAGGCCAACAAAUAGAAAACAUUAAUGAAUAUGGUAGAUACUAAUCCAGCUAUCUCAGUGGAGAUACUUUGAAUGAGCACUUUGAAUGUCAGUGGUCUAACUGUACAAAUUGAAAGAGAUCGUCAGAGUGGAUCAAAAAAUAUGACACAACUAUGUAUUGUCUAUAAGAAAUCCACUUUAAAUAUAAAGGCAUAUAGAUUAAAAGUAAAUAGAUGGAGAAAAAUAUACAAUGCUAACAGUAAUCAAAGGAAAAUAGGAGCAGGGAUAUUGGUUGCAGACAAAGCAGACUUCAAAUUAAGGGAAGUUUAUCAGGGAUGAAGGGCUUUGAUAAAGGGGUCAGUUCUCCAAGAAGAUAUUGUAAUUGUUAACAUGUAUACACCUAACAACAGCAUCAAACUAUGCGAGACAAAAACUGAUAGAGCUAUAAGGAAAAAUAGAUGAGUUUUACAUUUAUAGUUGGAGACUUCAACAUCCCUCUCUCAGAAAGUGGACAGAUCCAGCAGGCAGAAAAUAAGUAAGGAAAUAGUUAAACUCAACAACACUGUCAGUCAACUGGAUAUAAUGGAUAUCUGUAGACUACUUCAACCACCACCAACAGAAUACACAUUUCUCUCAAGUUCAUGGAACAUUCAUCAAGACCACAUUCUGGGACAUAAAACCCACCUUAACAAAUUGAAAAGACUAGAAAUCAUUCAGUGUUUGUUUUCAGACUACAGUGGAGUUAAACUAGAAAUCAGUAAAAGAAAGAUAACUGGAAAAUCCCCAAAUAUGUGGGGAUUAAACAACAUACUUCUACAAUACUGCAUGGUCAAAGAAGAAAUCACAAGAGAAAUUAAAAAAAUAUUUUCAACUAAAUGAAAAUGAAAAUUGUGGGAUAUAGUGAAAGCAGAGCUUAGAGGGAAAUUUAUAGCAUUGAAUGCAUAUAUUAGGAAAGAAGAAAAGUUUCCAACUUAGGAAUUGAGAAAAAGAAAAGAAAAUUAAAUCCAGAAUAAGUAGAAGAAAAGAAAUAAUAAGAAUAAAUCAAAGAAAUUAUAAACAGAAAAUAGAAAAAACCCAAUGAAACUAAAAGCUGGUUCUUUGAAAAAAGCAAUAAUACUGGUAAGUCUCUAGCUAGGCUAUCUAAGGAAAAAAAGAGAAAGCACAAAUUAAUAUCAGAGACAAAAGAGGGACAUCACAACAAAUCUCAUGGAAAUUAAAAGGAUAAUAAAUGAAUACUGUGAAUAAAUCUAUGCACACAAAUUUGAUAACCUAGAUGAAAUUUCAAAUUCCUUGAAAGACACAAUCUGCCAAAACUCACAGAAGAAGAAACAGAUGAUCUGAAUAGGCCUUUAUUAAAGAAAUUGAAUCAACAAUUAAUAAUCUUUAAAAACAUGAAAGCACCAGGCCCAGAUGGGUUCACUGUUGAAUUCUACCAAACAUUUAAGGAAGAAAUUAGACCAGUUCUCCACAGUCUCUUUCAGAGGAUAGAAGUAGAGCAAAUGCUUCGUAACUCAUUUUGUGAGGCCAGCAUUACCCAAAUAUCAAAACCAAAGACAAAGACAUUAUAAGAAAACUAUAGACCAAUAUCUUUCAUGAACACAGAUGCAAAAAAUCCUCAACAAAAAUUUAAUCCAACAAUUUGUGUAAAAAGAAUUCUGUACCACAACCAAGUGAGAUUUAUCCCAGAUAUAUAAGGUUGGUUCAACAUUCAAAAAUCAAUUAAUGUAAUCCAUCACAUCAACAAACUAAAAAAGAAAAAUCACAUUAUCUUACCAAUAGAUGCAGAAAAAACAUUCACCAAAAUCCACUACCUGUUCAUGAUAAAAACUCUCAGUAGACUAGGAAUAGAGAUGAACUUUCUCAACUUAAUAAAGAAUAUCUAUUUUAAAAAAAAAACCUGUAGGGGCGCCUGGGUGGCUCAGAUGGUUAAGCCUCUGCCUUUGGCUCAGGUCAUGAUCUCCAGGUCCUGGGAUUGAGCCCCAUGUCGGGCUCCCAGCUCAGUGGGGAGUCUGCUUCUCCCUCUCCCUCUGCUUCUCCCCCUGCUUAUGCUCUUUCUCUCUCAAAUGAAUAAAUAACCCUAGAGCUAACAUCUUAAUAUUGAGAGAGCUUUCCGACUAAGAUCAGGUACAAAGAAGGCUAUCCCCUCUCACAUGUGACUCUUUUUGACAUCAAACGAAGUUCUUGCUUAAUGCAAUUAGGCAAGAAAAGGAAAUGAAAGGUAUACAGAUUGGGAAGGGAGACGUAAAACUGUCUGUGUUUGUAGAUGACAUGAUUAUCUAUGUAGGAAAUCCUAAAGAUUUGACAGAAAAACUUUUCUGGAACUAAUAAGUGUUUACAACAAGAUUGCAGGGUACAAGGUUAAUACACAGAAGUAAAUCGCUUUGCUAUAUACAAGCAAUGAAAAAGUGGAAUUUGAAAUUUAAAACAAAGCCAUUUACCCCCCAAAAUGAAAUACUUCGGUACAAAUCUAACAAAAUAUGUGUAAGAUCUAUAUGAAGAAAACUAAUAAACUCUGUGAAUGAAAUCCAAGAACUAAAUAAAUGGAGAGAGAUCCCAUGUUCAUGAAUAGGAAGAUGCAGUAUUAUCAAGAUGCUAAUUCUUCUCAACUAUCUAUAGAUUCGGUGCAGUUCCAAUUAAAAUCCCAGCAAGUUAUUUUGUGGAUAUCAACAAAGUGAUAGCAAAGUUUAUGUGCAGAGCAAAACAUCCAAAUAGCCAACACAGUAUUGAAGGAGAAGGACAAAGUUAAAAGGAUUGACAUUACUUGACUUCAAGACUUACAAACCUACAGUGCUCAAGACAGUGUGGUAUUGGUGAAAGAACAGACAAGUAGGGCAAUGGAACAGAAUAGAGAACCUACAAAUAGACCCCCACCAAUAUAGUUAACUGAUCUUUGACAAAGAAGCAAAGCAAUACAGUAGAGCAAAAAUAGUCUCUUCAACAUAUGGUACUGGAACAACUGGACGUUCACAUGCAAAAAUGAAUCUGGCAUAGACCUUACACCUUUCACAAAAAUUAACUCAAAAUGGAUUAUAGACCUAAAUAUAGAAUGCAAAACUAUAAAACUCCUAGAACAUGAUAUGGGAGAAAGCCUAGAUGACCUUGGGUAUGGUGGUGCCUUUUUAGAUACAACGUUAAAGGCAUGCAUGACCUGUGAAAGAAAUAAUUGAGAAGUUGGGCCUCAUGAAAAUUAAAAACUUCUGCUUUGUGAAAAAUAGUGUCACGAGAAUUAGAAGACAAGCCAUAUACUGGGAGAAAAUAUUUGCAAAAGACACCUUUGAUAAAGGACUGUUAUCUGUAAUAUCUAAAGAACUCCUAAAACUCAGUGAUAAGAAAACAACCUCAUUAAGAAAUGAGCCAAGGACCUUAACAGACACCUCACUAAAGAAGAUACACUGGGGCGCCUGGGUGGCUCAGUUGGUUAAGCGACUUCCUUCGACUCAGGUCAUGAUCCUGGAGUUCCGGGAUCGAGUCCCGCAUCAGGCUCCCUGCUCAGCGGGGAGUCUGCUUCUCCCUCUGACCCUCCUCCCUCUCAUGCUCUCUGUCUCUCAUCCUCUGUCUCUCAAAUAAAUAAAUAAAAUCUUAAAAAAAAAAAAAAGAAGAUACACUGAUGGUAAAUAAAUAUAUGAAAAGAUGCUGCAUGUCAUAUGUCAUCAGGGAAAGGCAAAUUAAAACAAAAAUGAGAUACCACUGCAUACCUAUUAGAUUAGCCAAAAUUCUAUUAUUCAUAAUUGCCAAAAUUUGGACACUACCCAGCUGUCCUUUAGUAGGUGAGUUCAUAAACAAACUUUGGUAUAUCCAGACAGUGGAAUAUUAUUCAGCACGAAAAAGAAAUGAGCUAUCAGGCCAUGAAAAGGCAUGAGGGAACCUGAAAUGCAUAUUACUGAGUAGAAGAAGCCAAUCUGAAAAGGCUACAUGUUAUAUGAAUCAACCAUAUGACAUCUAAAAAAGGCAAAACUAUGGAGACUAUAAAAGAUCAAUUGUGUGGGGAAGGAGGAAGGGAUGAAUAGCUGGAGUACAGAGGGUUUUGGGGCAGUAAAAAUACUGUUUGAUAUUAUGAUAUAUGUCAUUAUACAUUCAUCCAAGGGCAUAAAAUGGACAGCACCAGGAAUGGACCCUAUGGUAAACUGUGGACUUUGGAUGAUUAUAGUGUGUCAAUGCAGGUUCAUGCUUGGUAAAUAAAUGUGCCACCGUGGUGUGGGAUGUUGGUAGUGGGGGAGGCUGUGCGUGCGUUGGGGCUGGGUGUAUAUGGGACAUCUCUGUCCCUUCCUCUCAAUUUUGUUGUGAACCUAAAACUGCUCUAUUAAAACAGGUCUUUAAAAAAAAGAUAAAAGGAAAAGGAGUGUCAGCUGGCAGCUCUGAUGUUUGAGUGGCUCAGUGCAUUGCAUAGCAUGGCCAUAUGUUGCAAAAUGAUAAAGUAUGAAAGACAUUGCUGAUUUAAUGAUAAAGUUGGUGGUAAUAGGUAAAGAGGGACUAUUCUUGAAAAUAAGCUAGAGCUAAAACUGGAUAUUUAGAUUUUAUCGCUAGUUUAAAAUGAUUUGAUUAUUGGAAUUCCUGUGUGAAAAAUUACUUUGUUAUUGCAAACUUUGCCUAAAUUGCUUUUAUAAUAGACUCUAAUGCAGUUGAUUUUAAAAUAUACAUCUUUGUUUCUUAGGACCAGAAUUCACAUAAAUAGAUUCUACUUUUAGAAUCACUGAUCUCUUUAGAGAUACUGCAAAUCUAUUAAUUUUUGAAUUUAGAUGCUGUUAGGAAAUGAAAUGGCUGGUGGUUAUGAAAAUGUAUUUGAGAAAUAGAUUUGAGGACUCACAUUGUGAUGUUCUUAAGCUCUGCUCUCACACCUACCCAAUAAUAUGUCCUCAGCCAGUGGGAGGUAGAAUUAGUGUACCAUGAGGCAGUAUUAUAUAGUGAUUAAGACUCUGAGUUUAAAUCAGACAGACUUGAGUACAAAUAUCCUCCUACCACUAACUAGUUAUCCAAACAUUACAGCAUAUCAUUUUCAUUGCUGAACUCCAGUUCUUUAUCUAUAAAAACGGGGCUCAUCGUAGCUUUUAUGAAUAUUAUGGUGGAGAGUAAAUAAGAAAAUGUACAUCAAGCCAUUAGCGCAGUGCUAAAUAAAUAGUAGGCACUAGGAAAUGGUACACAUUGUGGUGGUCACUAUUCCUAGGUUAAGAUUUUUUAAAGUAUUGUGGAAACAGUUUAACUCUAUGUCCUUACAUUUGGAAUUUAAUUAUGUCUCUAACUAUGUAAAUCAGAUGAAGAUGGGAGAGGGCACUGUGAUUUUUACAUAAUAGUUCAGUAGUUAUGUAGGAAAAUCAAUUCAUAAAAACAAAAUUUGCUUUGUGUAUGAUGCGGAAAAUCAUGAUAAAAGCUGGAGGAAUAACUUAUAACUAUAGUGAACUAGCAUUAAAAAAAUACCAGGCCUGUACAGAAUAUUUAAAUUUUAUUUACUCUUUACCUAAUACAAAUCUGUGUUGUAGCCAAUAUAAAGUUCAUAUUUAAAAAAAUUGUUUUCAUACAUUCCGAGAAGGAUAUUUUGUUUUUGAUUUAUAUUAUACCCAUUUGUUUUCCGACAGGAUAGGCAAAGGUUAAGAGAAAUACAAUUAUGACUCAGUUGUAGUUUUAAUAAUUAUUCUAAUAAAUUCAACAGAAAGAUGUGGGAUAUAAAAUUGUAGUUCCUUCAUAAUUUUAGUUAUGAAAAUUUACAUAUCAAAAGGAGACUAAAGGAAAUAAUAUAAAAAUGGUAGUAACCAUGGAAUUUCUACUGAGCUUUUUGGCAACCAAGGGAAAAAGGGAAAUAAGGGAGAUUGUAGUUUUCACAGAUUAAUAUGUUCAUCAGGAGAAAAUUCUCUUUCUUCCUGGCACUGAAUUAUAUAGGUGAAGUCACCAUGUGUUUAAAUUAUAUAUAGGUGAAGUGUGUUGAAUGAUACCAUGGUGUCUUCAACUGUGGGUUUUUUUUGUUUUUCAACUACAGUUUUAAAGAAAGAAUAAAAAUGUUUGACUACUUAAACAGCCCUAAGUAUAGUGAAGGUUUGACACUUAAUUGUAAUAUGGUGAAAGCCUUUCUCUUCUAACAGUUAAUAUAUGCCAGGUAAAGACUUCCUGGCGCUCUAGGUGCUAACAGCUUGGAACCUAGGUACCUAAUGUCAUCUUCAGACUGCCUCUUUCAAGCCCUGUGUAGCUUUCUCAGGAACUGGAAAGCAGUUUUUCAGUGUUAUGGUUGGUGCCAAAGUAUAGCUUUCAUGGUCAUUGACAAGAGAAUAAAAUAAGUAUUCCUUUUUUUUUUUAAUUUAAUCUAAUUUUAUUAUGUUAUGUUAGUCACCAUAUAGUACAUCAUUAGUUUUUGAUGUAGUGUUCCAUGAUUCAUUGUUUGCGCAUAACACCCAGUGCUCCAUUCAGUACUUGCCCUCUUUAAUACCCAUCACCAGGCUAACUCAUCCCCCGACCCCCUCCCCUCUAAAACCCUCAGUUUGUUUCUCAGAGUCCAUAGUCUCUCAUGGUUCAUCUCUCCCUCCGAUUUCCCCCCCUUCAUUUUUCCCUUCCGUCUUCCAAUGUCCUCCAUGCUAUUCCUUAUGUUCCACAAAUAAGUGAAACCAUAUGAUAAUUGACUUUCUCUGCCUGACUUAUUUCACUUUGCAUAAUCUCCUCCAGUCCCAUCCAUGUUGAUGUAAAAGUUGGGUAUUUAUCUUUUCUGAUGGCUGAGUAAUAUUCCAUUGUAUUUAUGGAUCACAUCUUCUUUAUCCAUUAGUCUGUUGAAGGGCAUCUCGGCUCUUUCCACAGUUUGGCUAUUGCAGAUGUUGCCACUAUGAACAUUGGGGUGCAUAUGGCCCUUCUUUUCACUACAUCUGUGUCUUUGGGGUAAAUACCCAAUAGUGCAAUUGCUGGGUCAUAGUGAAGCUCUAUUUUUAAUUUUUUGAGGAACCUCCACACUGUUUUCCAAAGUGGCUGUAACCAACUUGCAUUCCCACCACAUGAAAAGAUGUUCAUCAUCAUUAGCCAUCAGGGAAAUUUAAAUCUUUUUUUUUUUUAAAAGAUUUUAUUUAUUUAUUUUAGAGACAGCCUGCAUUUGAUCAAGUGGGUGGGGGGAGGCACAGAGGGAGAGGGAGAGAGAGCCUGAAGCAGACACCCUGCUGAGCAUGGAGCCCCACACUGGCUCAAUCUCACAACCCCGAGAUUAUGACCUGAGCUGAAAUCACGAGUUGGACACUUAACUGACUUGAGCUACCCAGGCACCCCUCUUUUUUUUUUUUUUUUUUUAAGAUUUAUUUAUUUUAGAAGAACGCGUGUGCGUGUGCACCCAUGGGAGGAAGGGCAGAGGGAGAGAGUCUCAAGCAGACUCCCCAAUGAGCAUGGAGCCUCACCCAGGACUCAACCCCACCAUCCUGAGAUUAUGACCUGAGCUGAAACCAAGGGUCAGAUGCUUAACUGACUGAGCCACCCAGGUGCCCCUUAAAAUAGGUAUUUCUUAAUCAGAUGUCAAUGCUUUCUCAGCAUGCAACAUGGUCGCUUUUGUGAGCUAUUUUGUACUUGGAUUUUUUAAAAGGGGAGUAGGUCUUUGGACUUUCUUUUUUCAGUUUCAGAGAUUUAGAAUCCCAAAUGAUUUAAAUUGUGGAUGAAGUUAAAGAGAAAAUAUACUUCUCAAAUUUUGCUUCGUAGUAGAAGUAAAGAUUUAAUGUCAAACUCCUGCGGAUUGCUGGUACAAAUUGGGCACUUUCUCAGCAAAUUAUAAGUUGAAUUUUAUUCUUGUAUUGAUCUUCAGGGACAGAGAACAAGACCGACUCAAUACUUAGAUUAAUUCACUUAAAAUAACUCUUCUUGAGUCCUUUGUUAUGGAUACAUUAUAAUCCCUUGAAGUAAAAUCCAUAAUUAUUUUACCUUUUGCCUGACAGUAAUGUUACCUUAACCUGAAGAAAUUAUUCAGACCCUCUUACUAUUUUCUAAUGUAUAAUAUUAGGAACAGUGGCUGCUUUUCACACCUUUUAGGGGCCAGGCAGCUUCACAGUAUUAAAGAGAAUAAGAUCUGAGCCCUGUCCAGGCCAUUUGCUCACUUUGUCCUUGAGCAUGUUAUUGGAAGUUUUCUGAGGCUCCAUUCGAUCCGCUGUAAAUGGAGAUAACGCUCACCUCACAUGGAUGCUGUAAACAUAGGUAAUGUGUGGGCAUACCUACAAGUAUGUUUCCGCGAUGGCUGUAAUAAUGUGUGGAAUGUGGCAACCGUCCUGUGUUCCCAGCCCCAGGCACUUGGUGCCAGGACUUCCCUAUGGCUGGGGGUCACAGGGAAUUCACAGGCAGGCUUGCGUGAAUCUUGGGAAUAUGUUAAUUGACUACAUGUUGCCAUUUGACAUGAGGGAACCAGACUGUAUGUAACAUUUUAUAAGCCAAGUUCAAAGGAGUAGAUGUUUGCCAAAGCUUUUUGUAAGGCUAGGUCCUUUUUCUACAGUUAGUAUCUUUUUCAGUUGGGCCUCAGGUCAGCUCUCUCUGAUAUUUUAACAACUCAUAUGCCAUUGCAAACAUAGUAAUUUCAGGAAAGCCUGAAGAGGAGACUUGAUUCUUCUUUCCAUGUGUCCCAUUUGGGCUCUUCUCCUAUUAGACUUUUGGCACUUGUAGAAUAUUUUAAAAAGUCCCUGCUAUGAAAAGGAAAGAGCCUACAAGACCUACAGGUUAGGCUCACAAAGUUCCAUCUGGGGCUCUUGAUGUACACAUCCUCAGUUGAACCCCUUAUGUGUGCUCUUGUCCUUUGUCUGAAUCUUAAAUUGCAUAAACUUUACUUAGCAGACACAAAGGAAGCCCUGUGUUUUCUGCAUUCCAGGCACUAAGGUUGUGAAGAAGAAGCGGAUGCCUCAGGGCCACUUUGUAUGUGGGAAAAGAUGAGAAUAUAGUAGGGUGUGCCAUCCGUAGUAAAGACCUUUGAGCAGGAAAAACAAAGGAGCGGAAAACCAGUGGGCAGGAAGCCAUGGUUGGACAUGUUUUUAAAUUUUCUGCCAGGACAACUCAUCUUUGCUCUGUUUUAAUAUUCCUUCUACUUUGGCCCUUACUUCAACGAUGUCUUUUUUUGUGAAGAAAUCAGUUAUCUUUUUCAUCUCCAAGUAUUCACUCUCAUCCUCUAAAUAUCAGUUAAACCUGGUAUGGGAAGUGAACCACCCUUCAUGUCUCUGUAAGGGGUGGAGCAGAUGGGAGCCUUUGUGUGUGACCAGAUCCAACCAGACCCUUUUCCAUCCUUGGCAGUUCAGAGCACUGAGCUCUGGAAGGCUUUGCUCUGUUCUCUUGUGAUUUGUCUUGAAAACUUAUGUUUAGAACAUGAUCCUUCCCAUUGGUCCUUUAUUGAAAGGGAUCACAGCUUUUUAUAAUUGAAGGGUGGCAUGGUGUCUUUAGGUACACUUUUUAAAUGUUUUUUAAAAAAUCACUCUCAGAGGGGAGGAAAAAUAAUUUCCCUUCUACCCUUCUGAGUUCUUAGCUGAGACCCUGUAAUAAAUGACAGAUUAACAUGAAAAAAAGUGUUGAUUAACAUGUAUACCUCAUACACAUGGGAGAUACCCAGGAAAAAAUGGGUAACUUAAAGAUGUAGCUGUAGAAUUUAGGAUUAUAUUCCAUCUUAACAGGGAAAAAGGAGUGGGGGUGUAGGCCUCUUACAGAGAAUAAGUGAUUUUUAGGAAUGAUGGAUGGGCCCAUAGAAGAAUAGUUGAGAGAUAAUGAGAUUGUGACACGGUCUGUCUAGUCGGACUGGGUGUGGUGUGGACUUCAAGACUUCUUUUGUGAUAAGAGUCCGUCCUCCCUGGUUGAUGAAACUCCCAGGGAGGGGACUUAGAUAAUUGAGUUCCUUUUGGAGGACCUGUCUUUUUUUAGGUAGAUAAGGGAAGUUCAGAGAAAGCCUCUCCUUGCACUUGACUAUUUUCAGGUGUCUACAGCUCAAAAUAGUACACUUUUGAAAGUGGCAUAUUUUGGGGUGGCAUAUUCUGCUGAUCCUUUACACUAAACAAUCUGACUUUUAAAAUUAGAAUAUUUGAAGGCCCUCUUGGAAUGAAGCAUGUCUAAUUUCAGGCUUAAUUUCUUAGACAUAUAUAGGAAAAAAUAUAUAUAUAUAUAAAAAAUCUGGAAAUUUUAUAGUAAGUGUUAUACUCUACCCCUCAUCUCUCCCUCCCCCCACCACAACAACAGCACAACACAACACAUCAAACUUAUGCAGUCACACAUACUCAUACUCCCUAGUUGCCGGCCUCCCCAGAGUGGUGGCAUUUAUAGUGACCAUAAACUCUUCUUUUUUUCCUAAUAAAAUUUAUAGAUGGUUUCCCUUUUUUGCCCUUGCAUGAGUUAGACAGAACUACUUCCUUACUGUUGGUUGAAAAUAAGAUCCCCAUCCAUUGUCCAGAUUACAUUAGGGUAGCUCCUAGUUGACACAGAAAUAUAUUACGUGUUUUAAUAUGACACCCAUAAUUAAUAAGUCAGUGAUAAGAACUUUCGUGUAAGGGUAAAAAAAGCACAUAAAUCAUUUUCAUGCUAUAGGAGGUUUCAGUCAGUCCCAUAGUAUUUUCAGUCCUAGUUUAUCUUCUUGAGACUUCUGGGGGUCUCUGACCCCUCACUUACACUAGUCCACAGAACUCCCUCUGGUUCCUGUUCCAAAUGCUUCUUCCUUUUCUCAGUCUUCCUUCAUAUCUUUGAUAGCUUUGGACUAAGUCCAUGUUAGUGGAGGUAGAGCAACACAGUAAAAUCCUUGGACCACCUCUCUCCCCUUUCUCUGGACCUCUGCGGGGAAAGGUAGGGUCACAUUACUGGUCGAUGCUUGUGGCCCACAGGUCAUUUCCUGGAGGUACUUAGGGAGAGGUUGGAUGUCACCUGAUGAGAGGAGAUGACACUGGGCCUGUGUGUGCCCGCUGCUCGUCCCCGGCAGGUGCCCUCAUCCCACAGCCUCUGGAACCCUCAUGUCCAUGAGGGCGUGCAGCCAGAAUGUAAAUCCAAGUCUCUAUCCAAAACUCAUGCUCUUUCCUUUUCACAGCAGGGACUUUUAAAAAUAUUCUUUACAAAAUCUC